UUUAUACAGGAAGAAACCCCACUGACGUGUUGGUGGCUGACGGUACUGUAAGAAUAAAGACCGGCUAACUCCGUGCCAGCAGCCGCGGUAAUACGGAGGGUCUAAGCGUUAUCCGGAAUCAUUGGGUUUAAAGGGUCCGUAGGCGGGCUAAUAAGUCAGAGGUGAAAUCCCACAGCUUAACUGUGGCACUGCCUUUGAUACUGUUAGUCUUGAGUCAUAAUGAGGUAGAUGGAAUGUGUAGUGUAGCGGUGAAAUGCAUAGAUAUUACACAGAACACCGAUUGCGAAGGCAGUCUACUAAUUAUGUACUGACGCUGAGGGACGAAAGCGUAGGUAGCGAACAGGAUUAGAUACCCUGGUAGUCUACGCCGUAAACGAUGGAUACUAGCUGUUGGUUUGACUUCGGUUGAAUCAGUGGCCAAGCAAAA
This 427-nucleotide ribosomal RNA is filed under the name uncultured Cytophagales bacterium. RNAcentral's name for it is "bacterial SSU rRNA". It matches the Rfam family "Bacterial small subunit ribosomal RNA", at positions 434 to 856 of the family's 1533-position model. The record is from RNAcentral. Lineage: Bacteria; Pseudomonadati; Bacteroidota; Sphingobacteriia; Sphingobacteriales.